RNAcentral lists this unclassified non-coding RNA (392 nucleotides) under Hevea brasiliensis (rubber tree). Lineage: Eukaryota; Viridiplantae; Streptophyta; Magnoliopsida; Malpighiales; Euphorbiaceae. The record is from RNAcentral.
UUGGAAAUAAAUCCCUUCCUAAAAACAGAGACAUCAAUAGCACCUAGCACUCAACCAGUAUGCUUAAUUCAUGUCUGCAUUUUUCAAAUUACAUGCCUCAGAACACAAUAGUACUAAUUUUCCAAUAAAUACUAACUUCAUAUUACUUACACUUUUAUCUAUAGAAAAGGGGGGAAAAUGCACGAAUUCAAUGUAUUGAAUCAGCUCAAAAAGUUUAUCAACUUGGGUCGUCCUAAAUAAUGGUAAUUUUAAAAUUCAAAAUUCGAGACUUUCUCAGCAAUCAAACAGCAUCCCACUUCUCCAUAAAAAGAAAAGAUAAUUCUAAAGCAUUUUUAGAGCAACACAAUUUAUUUGGCCUAACCCAUAAAAAUUUCACCGCAAAAAAGAGUAAA